Mus musculus (house mouse) is the source of this 12779-nucleotide long non-coding RNA. RefSeq annotates it as predicted gene, 46555. The record is from RefSeq and is a predicted model, not a curated record. Lineage: Eukaryota; Metazoa; Chordata; Mammalia; Rodentia; Muridae. The transcript is spliced from 3 exons.
UGCAGGCGGUUGCUGCUAUCUAGGCCUCUGCAGAAGCCAGGGCUGUGGUGCUGUACAUGGAGAUUGAGUUAGCUCCGGCUCCCGGGAGACAGGGUCCCCGUCACAGCCAAGGAUGACAUCUUAACCGGUCAUAGAGAGGACGUCACACAGGCUCUGCUGGCUGCUCGUUUCCAUCACGGGGAUGAAAGACCUGAGAACUACAACUUAACAGAAAGCAAGAGAGGUUUAUGUUGGCCAUGGGGUCAGAGAUUCAGUCCAUGGUGCACCGUGGGGAAGGGCAGUGGCGGAAAGCUGCCCAUCUCACGGAGGGCAGGGAUGGAGGGAAGGAUGCAGGUGGAAAGGAUGGAGAGAGCUGGGGGAGGAAUGGAGGGAGGGCGGGAUGCCCCAGGAAACAGGGACAAGUUCUGUCUUUUCAGAGUACACCCUCAGUGGUAUACUCCCUCCACCUAAAAACAAAAACAUCCAACAAUGAAGUCAUCAGUACUAACCAAGGCUUUAACACAUGCGCCUCGAGAGAUUUUUUUUACAUCUAAAACAUAAACUCCCUGCCCUACGUGGGCAAGCCAUGGUCCUCAUAGCCCACUGUUAGGGGUAACUGAAUUGAGCGGAGACCCAUGCAGACAGCACGACCACCCUGUCUCUGACCUUUAGGUCCGAGGUGGUCCUUCCUAUCCUCCAGGAAAGGCUAACACACCCUGGAGGGUGGCUCGUCUGCUUCUGCUGAGCAGAGAGCAGAAGGGGAAGAGGUGACUAUGGGCGAGGCCCUAGCAUCUCCAUUCCUGAGGAAGCUAUGUGGAUGGGAGUCUCAGCCACUUCCCAGAAGCCCUCCUUCCAGUUUGACAGCAGAUCUCGCCUUGUGGCCCAGAGUGGCCUCAAACUCCCUGUCCUUCCUGCCUCAGCCCCUAGAGGGCUGAGGCUGUAAGCACGCACCACCACACCUGCCUGUCUUCUCUAGUCUAUCACCAUGGGCUCACAGUGCCUGCUGACAUUGGAUGCGCUAGUCGAUAGUCGAUUCACAACAGAAGGGCCCUGCAGGCAGACUGCCACUGAAGCACGAGCAGGGGCCUCAGGACACAGGGCCUGAGCCACAGCCAGGGGACUCUGCUUACUGGGACCAGUGUGUGUGUGUGGGGGGGGGGAGGGGGUGCUUUAGCCAAAAAUUCAAUACCUGUACAAACACUUGGGCGGGCCCAGUCUUAGUGGAGACUUCAGUGCAGCUCCUGCUGUUUACUGGGGCGCAAACACUGGCACUGGGGUUACAGAGAAGAAGUGGAAAGAGAAGAAGAAAUGGGGCAGGCAUGAGGAACAUCUCAUGACCAAGAAUAAGAGGCCUAGAUUUCCAGGUUGGGUUUGGUCAUGGCCAGUGUCAACCUCUGCCAGUGACAGGUACUGCUGCAAUGAAAAUGAACUAGUCUAAAAAUGAAAGAUUUAGUAGCUCUCAGGAGCACAGCUAUGAGGGCUCAAUGCAGUGUGGGGAUUCAAAUGAAAAUGAUUUACAACUUAAUAAAACUGUAACCCUGGCUCCCCAGUCCCAACUGCCACAGUUCAAACCCCAGUGGCCACUAUCUGGGUACACGGAGUUCCAUGGGGGUACCCUCAAAUCUGCAGGUGCGGACACGUAGUCCACAGGACAUUCUUAGGGCACUCCUGCAGGCACUUUCUAAGGGCCUGCAUGCCUUGUUAGAACCUAUAUAAAAUACUGGGGAAGACACCCAGCAUACUUUUAGCCUGCAGCAGCUCUAAAGCAGGAGAGUAUUCAGAGGGACGGCGGAGUGAACUACCACAGGGUGUUCCACAGAUUCAGUGUGCGGACAAACAUUAGCAUGCUUCUGUAAGCAGGGGGCCACCUGCCGCAUCUGUAAUGGAAUGCUGUGGUAUGGCUUGCACAGGAGACCAGAAACCAGAACCCGUAGGUUAUGUUAUAGAUGAUGGCAGUCACCAUUUGCAUGGGGCGUGGUUAUGCGUCUAAACACUGCAGAAUAAUCACCCACAGGCUGGGCACCCUUGGUCCAGAACGCAGAGAUCUGACAGCUCCUCACCCUAACCCUUUCGAACAGCAACAUAACGCAAGAGGAAGCUUCAACCCUGGAGUGGAGGGUUGACAUGGAAACAGAGACAAUGAAAAUAUCCGAAAAAGCUACCCUUGCGCCACAAAGCACGAAUGAUUCUUGAGUUUAGACUGGAGUCCUGCCCAAAAGAUACCUCAGUAUGUUCAGAAAUACUGCAGCCUGAAAACACAUGAAAGCAGGUUAUCCCAAGAGCUUCCAGGGACUCUCCAGCGGUGAGAGACAGCAGGAGGCGCUGGUACGUAGGCUGGGUAAGAGUCAAGACAGAAACAGAAAGCUCCUUUAUGGGAAAGCAAAAGGAAAAGUAGAAAAGUAAUAAGUUCUAAUCUUCCUUCUUUGUUACAUUUAUUCAGUCAGUGUGUAUGUGGAUAUGUGUGGGCGCAUGGCAUGAAGUGUGUGUGCAUGUGUGUGUGAGUGUGUGCUUCUGUGUGCAUGUGUGUGUCUCCGUGUGUGUGAGUGUGUGUGUGUGUGUAUGCACGCUGUGGGCAUGGAGCGUCAGUCAUCAGCUUGGUAGAGAGCACCCGUACCCACUGCAGCCUCUCACUGGCCCAGCUCUUAGUUUAACGCAUUUAAGUUUGUGUGAGAGAAGGGAGGAUAGACAAGGAACACAGAGAUAAACAGGAGACAAUCCGUCCUGCUAACACAAGUCAGUACACGGCUGGCUCGGCGGCAAUGCAAAUACGGCAUACGGUGCCCAUGGUGGAGAGCAAACCGGUAGGGGCUGUUAGACAGCCACCCCUCCCUCCGCCUCAGAAGUGCACUUACACGCGUAAACAGAGACGCUCGUGGGAGGUGGAUGCUGAGACAGCACUGAGUAGGGAAAAAUUGCCCCAAAGAAGCUGACACUCCUGAGUAGACAGGGUUUGUCUACGCUGGCUACGUCACGGUGGGACCUCAGACAGCCGAGGAAACGCAGAGUCCAGGCUCACCACCCCAUGGAAAGGCAGGCCGCAGAAAGCCUUGACACAGCACUCUGCAGCCUGUAAACAUGGUGCACACUACACAGCACCUGCACUUAUCUCUACCCGCCAGACUCGUAAGUACCUAUGAGAACAAUGCCCAACGUCCCAGACGCCACCACGGAGGAAGAGGCUGAGGUGAGGUGAAGCAGAGUUUUAGUAAAUGCUUGCAGGUUGUUUUACGAUGACUUUAGUAAUUACCUUUGACUCACAGCAGUCCACACAGAUGGGAUAAUCUACAGCUGGCACUUGGCGCACAAUGUGGAGGAACUGGGCUCUCCGGACAUCCCACCCUAGUGCUAGCAGUUAGCUCUGCGGCAGCACGGGGCUUGUGGGAAACUGACUGCUGGACUCAGCUUACAUCAGCUGUACUCUCCGGUUUGCAGAAGAUGGGUGAAUCACGGGGACCCCAAGAACUGAGUAUGGACCACUGCAGGCACCUCUGUGACCAGUCACCUUGCAGUGCUGACUACAGCCAGGCCGUUAGGUGGCACAGGGCUGCAGACUCUGCUCUCCUACCUUAGACACCGACCAGUAGCCAGAAUGGCCCCACCCCCUGCCCCAGCAGCAGCAGGCGCUGGUUUCCAUUUGCCAGGCUCCUGCUAGGGAGAUGAGAUGCUGUCUCUCCCCUUCGAAGCUGAAAUUACCAAUUUGUCUUUGCAGCUCUGGGUAUGACUGCUGCUUCUUUCCUUUAGGGAAAGGCAUGCCUGAACGGUCUUCAGUCAACCAGUGGGUCCAUGGAGAACACAGGGGAAGCUACUGCGCCCUGGUGGUGAUCAAUGGACCGAUUGGAGCAAAUCUGCUCUGAUUCCCAGUGUCCUCCGAGGUGCCCGUCUCCUCUGAGCUCUGUUCUGUAGACUGGGAAUGGGGACCGGUGCUCAACUCCAGCUGUGUCCACAUCUGGAGAAUACUCCUGAGUCCACACCCUCACCCACCUGGGCCUCAGCUACUCACCAGAGAAAUGCAAGGCGAGGUUCGCAGGUCUCUUCUUCACAUGGGCUUUGAGAGCCCCAUAAUCAAACCUCCAAGAGUAGAAGAUUCUAUGAUGCUUAUUAAAUUUAUAAAGAGAAGUCACCUUUGUCUAGAAAAUGAGCAAGUAGCAGUGUUACCCUUAAAAGGGGACGACUGGGACGGGCAAGGCUCAACAGAAUUGGCACACGUAACACAAUAGCAAGUGGAAGUACUUAGAGUUAGUUUUGGAAUUACUAAUGUUACAAUUUACCACCAGGACUUAAGGAUGGAAAGAUGUGCUACUGAAAACACCCUAGGUCAGAGCAGCGGCAUGCACCUGCAGUCUUAGCCACUUGGGAGGCAAGAGACAUCUGGACUCAGGCGCUGGAGCCACUCUGGCUAACACAGUGAGACUUCACUUCAAAAAAAAAAAAAGAGGAAGAAAAGAAGGAAAAGGAAAUAGAGAGGAGGAGGAGAAGAAGAGGAGGGAGUAAAGAGGAGGAGAACUCAUUUCCCUGGGAAAUAAGCAUAAAUCAGAUAGACGGCCAGCAACCAGCCGUCUUCUCAAUAAGGGAACUCCUUGGGAAGAUGGUGAAGGCCGGAUGGAAGCAGGGACCAGUGAUUCCAGCCAGGUGACCUGGGAUUUGAGACCCUGAGCCAGCUGAGCCAUGUGGACGAUAACAACGGUGCUCCCUUCAUAACAUUCUUAGGAAACGACGUGUAUGAUACGAAUGGUAUUGAUGACGAUGCACUUGUUACAAAGAUUAGCCAGAAAUGCAAAGCCAGGAAAAACCCUCUGAGGACACAGUAAGAAGGCGCCAUCUGCAGGCCAAGGAGAGGAACUUCACCCUGAUCCCAGCCUUGGAGCCUCUGGGCAGUGAGGAAAAGAAUGGCUGUCACUGAAGUCACCUGGCCUGAUGCUGUGGGAUUUGGGAAGGCAACCCAAACAGACGAAUGCGACGAUAAAGUAAGGAAAGCUAUUGUAACUUUGAGUGAAAAAAAAAAACUCCAAAAUUAGCUCUCUGAAUUAAACAACAUUUUUGUCUUCUAAUUCUAAAUUCAGGCCAACCUCAAAUGCCUCUCUCUACUGGGUUAAUUAUGAUUGCAAUGGAAAUUUCAUAACUCGACUGCUGACAUUAGCAAGGAAAGGGAAAGGACUGGGCCUUCCCAAGCCAGAGAGGGCUCAGUUUCCCCCGUCCAAGCUAACCAGGCCUGAGCCUGCUCACCCUCGGGGAUCAGCCGUGUUCAGGGCGCUGUGGCCAUCAGCGGUUCCUCCCCUAAGAAACUGCGUAACAGCUUCUGAUGCUCCAGCAUUCCAUACUGUAGCUAGAGUGCAUCGACGGGCAGUUUACAUACAGUUUUCUUUAGGGUGCCGAACUCAGAAGAAAAGGUCAAGGAACCCUCACUGCGCAUCCUCCCUCACUGCGCAUCCUCCCUCACUGCGCAUCCUCCCUCACUGCGCAUCCUCCCUCACUAAGCAUCCUCCCUCACUAAGCAUCCUCCCUCACUGCGCAUCCUCCCUCACUGCGCAUCCUCCCUCACUAAGCAUCCUCCCUCACUAAGCAUCCUCCCUCACUAAGCAUCCUCCCUCACUAAGCAUCCUCCCUCACUAAGCAUCCUUUACUUCUGUGCUGGGGUUUGAACUUGGCGCACCGUGCUUAACAAGAAGCUCUCCAUAGCACGCUCCCGCUCAAGCCUGCUCUAGUGAGCACUUCUAAGCAUUAGCAGAAGCUGAAAAGGCUUAUAAGGAGAAAAACAAGACAGGCAAACCCACAACAACCCAACAGGUAUGGUGCUGCGCACCUGAAACCCCAGCAACUGGGAACUAGAGGCAGUCUACGGUCUGUCUCGGCUACUUAUCGAGUUCAGGACCACUGCGUUCUUCCUGAGGUCUGUCCAAAAGUAAAUAAACAGGAUGCCAAAGGUCCCACUGUGGUGCCACUAGGUGGCUGGCCUCUCGUCCUGGUGACCCAGCUCCCAACACUAGUGCCUUUGGAUAGUGGUAUCUGUGUGUCUAAGAUUAGGGAAAUAGAAGGCAAAUCCUGAACGAAACCUGUCCUUGUGCCUCACUCCUAGAAGAACAGCACAGUGUGGCUCUCACUGGGAGACUCAGGGAGGAAUGGUGGGUUCUCUCCUGCUCUGAAGGAAGGCAGCAGCCACGCUGUGAGCUGCCCUGUGGAGAGGCCCAAGAGGCAAGGAACAAAAGACACCUCCAGUGUUCCGCCAUCAAACGACUGAGGUUCCCGGUAACAGUCACAGAAAAUCCCGUUCCAGUCUUCUUGUGAGACUGUAGAUGAUGGUCGACAGCAGUUCUGUGCUAAGCUCAGCCACUCCCGGAUCCCACAACCAUGCCCUGUUAGUUCACUAAAGUGUUAGGUAACUUGGUUACACAGCACUUGAAAAUGGACACAGUAACUUACAAUGCCCUUUUGCUAGAUCCAAGUCACCCAUUCUUUUUUUUUUUUUUUUCUUCCAUAACUACUAUUAGUAUCUCCAUUACACAGGCAGGAAAACUAAGACACAGCUGGGUGAAUGUGCUCUUAACUGCUAGGCUACACUGCCUCCUUAUGGACAGGUCCUGCCAGGAUUUCCAGAGGCUGAGUUAUAGACAACAGGAAGCGGUAUCUUUACACCCUGAUGCUCCCAGCUCUGAUGGCCUCCUGGUCCUACAUUUUCAUGUAUUUGGUUUCCCCAAGAGACUCAGUGAUUGAUGCUCUUAGUUGUCAGCACUGUAGCUGUCUUCAGACACACCAGAAGAAGGCAUCAGAUCCCAUUACAGAUAGUUGUGAGCCACCAUGUGGUUGCUGGGAAUUAAACUCAGGAUCUCUGGAAGAGCAGUCAGUGCUCAUAACUGCUGAGCCACCUCUCCAGCCUGGUAGCCCUCUUAAAAGGCCACAAGGCAAUGAAGCUUGCGCUUCCUGCCUUCUUGCCUCUCACGACAGGCUUACCUAUCCUGACCCAUUCUUUCACGGGCCUUAGAGUCCACUUCUCUGGGAUUCCAACAUGGACUGAGAACCAACUGGCAUCUCUCUAGGACCUCCCUAGUACUCCAGCCAGACUGGGGCUGCCGAGACAUCUGGUCUCAGGGACAGUUCUGUUCCUUGCAGAACCCUGAUGAACACAGAUGCACAGGGAGCAUUUUUACCAUCUACUGCCAUGGGGAAACUGGCUACUGCUUCAAGAACACGGCUUCCUUGUCAUUACCUCCGCAUCUGCAGGUUCUGAUAGUCAUUAGUAUUUACAAAGGGAAAAAAUUGCCUCGCACAACAGAAUUGGAUUUCAAAGGGCUAGAACUCCCCACAGCUCUGAAAAGGAUCGCAGUGACUUCACAUAAAUAACCCAGGGGUCUAUUACACACACACACACACACACAUACACACACACACACACACACCACUGCGAGGGAGCAAAGCAUUCAGAGCUAAGCCCCUCGGUGUCCUGUACUCAGGAGUAGAUUGUGUUUUCUGCUCACAGUUUUUAAAAGAAGGGCACAGCCUGAGCUAUACACAUAGGAGACAACAGCCUCCCCUCUCCUGCUCUACCACAAAGCCUAUUUCUCCGGCACUUUAUGUAACUGUCCUGAGGCUUGAAGAGUCUGUAGUUGUGGCUUCAGCUAUGAAGAGUGCUGCGAUUAAGAUCUGUGGUGAAUUGACUUGUUGAGGAGUGGGGCGGUAGGGAGACAAAAAAAAUAAGAAGGGAAACCAAAAUGUGGCUAUAAAAAGCACCUCACCUCGUAAAGGGUCAGAAAUUCUAAAAUCAAGGAAAGAGUGGGUAAACUCUAAACCAAACCUUGCACCUAUUUAAUGUGGGGUUUACAGAUUAAUACAGCCUUCCAAUUAAGCUGAACCCACCACACCUGAGGCCAAACCACGGCAGGGGAAGCUUUACCAAGAUUGUGUAAGAACACGGCUUUGCCCACAAUAGGCUGAACCGAGAAGGGUCUGAAACCACCUGGACUCCCAAGUCUUCCUCCCCAGCCAGGAUGUCACACUCCCAGCAUGCCACACGGACUGACUUGGGUGGAAACAGGCAGAAACUUGGUCGGGGAUGUUCCAUCUUGGAGUGGAAGUUGUGGACACUGACUGCCACUCCAGAGGCCCGAACAUUUCAACCAUUAGCUUACCACACACACAGGCCCUCCCGCUGAUAGCAAUUAUCCUGCUUAGGCUUCAAAGUCACUGGCAAGGAAAGGGAACCUCGGGUCCAGACCUGAUUGCCAUUACAGACUAGAAGAAAUCAAGGCGCAGGCAGGCUGGAUAUCUGCUGAGGCGUGGGACCAGUUACUCGGUGGGCUUCUCUUUAAAUCCCCCACUGCCUCUUUCUUUCUCCCUCUACCUUUACUCCCCACGGAGUUUCACUCAGGCUGGACCACACCCAACUAUGUAGCCCGGGGAUCAGGCAAAAGACAAUCUUCCUGCUCCAGUUCCUUGGCACUGCCAUUUAGAGCGGGAGCUAAGACCCAAACCCCUUCUAGCCAAGCAGAAGGCAUUGCUUCUCGGUCUUGACUAAGAGAACCACCCACGAGCCAUUCCCAGCUCCCACGCCUGAGAAUGGAAUUAGUUUGGAGUGUCAGAGGACAAGGCAAUUUCUCAAACCCUCCCCUGGGAUUCUGGAGGCUGGGGGAGGGGUGGUGAGGUAGUUCAGUAGGUAAAUCCUGCUUGAGCCCCAGAACCCAUGUUAAGAAACCAGAUGCACUGGCUCACAUCUAACCUCACAGCUCCUACAGGGGAAGCACGGGGAGGCUUUCUGGCCAACUGGCUGGAAGUCUGCAGAGCCUCUGAGAUGUGAGAGAUCCUGCCUCAAAUACAUGGUGGGAGGAGAGAACAGGUUCCCAAAAGGUUCCUGGACGUCACAUGCAUAUUCCUCCCCCGCCCCUUACACACACGCACACUGCUUUUUUAAAACAGAUUCCAAGGUUACAGGUACCGUCGGAAUCUCCCUUUUUGGGGAGGGGCACAUAUGUAGAGAAGUUAGAACUCUUUCUUAAGAUCCUUUAAUGCAGAUCAGAGUACAUGUUAUUAAGAGAAAAUUAUAGAAAAGGCCACCACGAAGCAUGGUCAUGUUUUAAAGAAAUGCGUGUUCCGUAGAAACAGAAAGACUUCGUAUGAUUUCCUGACAGCAGAUUCUGACACAGCCCUUGGGUGAAGCUGUACCCAUCAUAUGCGUCCGUGUUUGAGCCGACCAACGCAAGGGCGUGUUUCCGCUACGGUCUGGAACUCUGCCUCGGAGAAGCCAAAUGGGACGUCUGAGCUGCCCGUUAGCUUGGUGAUGGCUGAGCAAGGAGAACCAACUAACCAGAGCCGACAGCCCGAAGCACGGGUCACUACUGGUUCUGAGCACAGCUCUGCUCUCCGAGUAGAACUAUUCACAGAAGCAGCAGCUAGUAAAACAGCGUGCCCGGCAAAGAUUUGCCCACAUAGAAAAUAACCUUAUUUCAAUAAAGGUUUCCUCUAACUUGUAACAGUAUGAAUUUCUCUAGUAAGAUUAUUUUACAUAAAUAAUGAUAGUUUUUUUUUUUUUUUUACAUAGACACUUAGUUAACAUGUUUUACUGAAAGCAAAUCUCACAUAUCAGAUGGUUAGUAGUUAUAACAGUUUCUGGAAUUCUCAAACAAAUGAGUAGUUCAGGUCCGUUUCUUCUUUUAAGAUUAAGGUUAUAGGAUCAGGAGAGUCAUAGGUAACAACUGCACGUUGGCACCUCCAGGUGGCCCUUCAGUGCGGUUAGAAAGGAGGGCAGCAGCUCUAAGGUCUCCCAUAGUUCUGGAUUGGAGGCCCACCCAUUCCAGGGUAGCCACAGCCAACCUGAAGCAGACACAUCUGCAAUACCAUCGAAAGGUGACCCACAUGCAGGUGACAGGCUGAACCCCCGAAAGCCACACUUUCUCACUCAGAGGGAUGGUUCUGGCUAACUGAGAAACAAUCAGCUUGCUGGAAGACUUACCAAUUACCUACCACGAUGGUAGUUUUGUUAGGUUGUCUUCCUGUACAGAGCUAUUGGCCCUGGGAACUGGCACCCUUAGACCUAUGUGUUAAUGAUGUGUGAAUCAUUGUAAACCUACAGGACCCAUGAACCGGCAAUCCAUCAGUGUACAACACCCCAUACUGAAGCUCCAGAGGGUGGAAAGAAAGGGGAGGAGCCUCCAGAGGUCCCGUGUCUGUCUCCUCAGAACCACCCCUCUGCACAAAGGACCCUCCUUUCCAGCAAUCUGACAAGCCCCCUGGCCUGCCUCCCUGUUCCCUCUCCCACCCACCCAUCUUCCUUCCCCAUGGGACAUUUUCCACCCAACUUUGAAGUUAGAGUACCAUCUGACUGCAUCCCUCUGGGGACCCUUCCCUGGAUGCUCUUCAGACCGCUGCAGCCCAGCACCCUGCCCUUCAGCACUCACUGGAGCUCCUUCCGGCCAUUUCCUAGUUCACUCUGGCACCCAUCCACACAUCAGCAUGGCUACUCCUUUGGAUUCUGGACACAAAACUCUCCCUAAGGAGCCUGUGCAGGGCCACCGUAGGCCCCUUGAACUGACUGCUCAGAGUAACUUUCUGCACCCACACUGUCCCCAGAGCCCUCCUCCAGACCCUGGAAGGCUGAUCCUGCCAAUGGAUCUGGCUUGGGCUCCCCUGGAUCAGGGAAGGCCAGGCUCUUUCCUGUGACCUUUAGCACCCCAACUUCACAUCUUCAGAUCUACGCACUUGCCAGGCAGCUCCUCACAGGGGUUCCUCUCCUAGCUCCAGCUUCUAGCUGCUGUUCAUGGCUACUGGUCUGGAUACCUCCUGUGGAACUCCUGAGGCCAGCCCAGUUAGCCAGUUCCAUCCUGAGCCGCCAGUGUGCAGCCCUGUAAGGACCUGGCUGUCACUAGGUCUGCCACCUGUCGCGACUACCUGAUUCUCUUUACAUUCCAUGCUGCACGUCUCUCUUCUGCCGGCCCUCAGUACCUCAGGUUGCACAUGUACAGGUUCGGACAAUCUAGAAUAAUUUUUCUUUUUUCAUAAAGAAAAACUGCACUUGCAAGAACAGGUACAUACCAUUCCUUCUUGCCAUUUAAAAACAACAACAAUAACAGUAUAACAACUAUUUAUAUACAUUUACAACCUACCAGGUAGCGUAAGUGGCCUAGAGAUGACUUAAAGCACACGGGAGGAUAUGCAUAUGCUAUAUUAUGCAUAUGCUGUAUUAUGCAUAUACUACAUUAUGCAUACGCUGUAUUAUGCAUAUACUAUAUUAUGUAUAUACUGUAUUAUGCAUAUGCUGUAUUAUGCAUAUGUUGUAUUAUGCAUAUGCUAUAUCAUGCAUAUGCUAUUUGCAAGCACCUACUGUUUUACAUAGGAAACUUCACCACAUGUGGAUUUUAGCAUCAGAGAGAUGUCAGUGGUGGGGCUGUGCUCAAGAGCACCCCUGUCAUGUGCUUCUUCCCUGAGGUCUGUCUGUCUCCACACCUUCCAGAAUCCAAGCUCUAUGAAAGUGACAAGCCUGGCAAACUCUCCACUUCCUCCUGAGUCUGAAACCACGCCUGGAAACCAGCAUCAGUCCUUAGCAAUCACCACCUUAUCAUUCCAAGAGUGUUGUCAUCUUUGCUCAUUGGACGCACAGCAGCCAACGCCUUCCUUCUCAGACCUCUACUCCCUGAGCCCUCCUCCUUCUCCCUAGAGCACCGUCGUCGCCUUCUGCUACCGCUGAUAUUUACCUUUUCUGUUUCCCUCAAUCAAACAUGUCAGCAAAGCUUUCAGCCCUUGGCACUGAGUCCACAUGUCAAUGAAGUGGAGCUGAAGGUCGCUGCCAAGAGAGACACCACUGUGUCUUGGUUAUUUAUAAUUUAUACGGCCAUUUACUUUCAGAGAGGAUUUACAAUGGCUAUGCACACGCUUCAGGACAUCCUGUGUAGAGAGAGCAACAAUUGUCACAGCUCGGGGCUUUUCUCAUCGCUCUCUGCCGGUUGAGCUCUCGCCAGCACUUCAAACCUCUUUUAGGGAUCUCAGGCUCUCUUUUUCUGUCUGAAGCAAGAUCAGUUCAGAGUGAGACUGCAUUUGUCUGGGUGCCUAGUAUCCUGGAACAGCAUUGUCUAAGGCUCUGCCCACUUGGCCAGUCACUCAUUUCCACAUUUAUUAAGAUUCUGUUGUGAGGCUGUUCUGGGAUCGGAAGAUACAGCAGAGAAUCAAAUUGCAUUUUUGCCUUUAGGGCAAGUGCUCGAUGAAUUAUCACCUGAAGUGGCCAAGGGAACUGUUCAUGGUCCGUUGGGGUUUAGCCCCUGCCCUGCAUUUACUGUCAAAGGAAGGGUGCAGCUCAUUCAUUGGGAGGACGGAGAAAACAGACGUGACUCACCGUUCAUAAAUAGACUACGCUCUGCGUUCUCAAUCUGCACUAUUGGAAGAAAAGCCAGUGUUUGGGUGAGGAUCCUGGCUGCUCAUUAUCUUGCGGUUGAUUGGCCAGUUUUGGUUGAAUGCGGUUGGGGGGAAAGUCUUUCCUAAGCCUUUAGGAUAUUUAGUUCACCCUUAAAGGAGCGACAUGCCACCAUCAGGGUCACUGAGUACAUUAGGAAUUGUUCCUUCCUCGCCCAAAUCCACACAAAUUUGACACCCUGGGAAGGAGAUGGGGCAGGUCUGAGUAACCAAUCAUGGUACUUGGGAGGAGGAAUUGAUUUCUGAUCUUCAAUGAUCCCGUAGAACACGACCUGGACUAUGUAGGCUGUGCAAAAGAAAGCUCGUCUCCAGUGUCUGAGACCCCUGGAGCAGGGCUUCGGCCCGUCCCCGCCCCGGCCGCGCCCCGCAACAAGUGUCCGCCCUCCGCCCCGACGGAGGCCCGGUCCUCACCC